CUUUCAAUAUUAAGUCCUCAGAUUUGUUGAUCUGACAACGGAUAUAUUUCAGUUUAUGAUUGAAGGAAAACGCAAAAUACAUCUUACAGACGUGAACACGGAAGGUUUCUCGACUCUUGAACAAGACCGUCUAUCGACGUGUCUUUUUUUUUAUUGAUUUCAAAAUAUAUGGACUGGUUGACUUCCGUGCGAACCUUGAAGCCCCUGACCGCUGUCUGGAUUGGUUUGACAGAUUCAGAAUGAGGAGUGCUGCAGUCGUGGCAGCAUGUGCAGCAGUGUCAAGGACAUCACACCACCACCAGUCUGGUGCCACAAAUUUCUGUUGACUGAUUGGAAGCCAUCAGAUCUACACAUGGAAGUCUCUUUAUGAAACAUACCUACAUAUUUCCACUUAUGACUCCCAUCCAUGACUAAUUUUCUCCCAAAGCUCUCUCUACUCACUGUACUAAAAAUCUGAUUACUGAGUCUGUUCCAUUCAUUUAACACUAUUUGAUAAACAAUUUCUUUCUACCUCUGUUAGAUUAAACUUUAUCAAGCCUGA
Molecule: long non-coding RNA, 541 nt
Organism: Scylla paramamosain (green mud crab)
Lineage: Eukaryota; Metazoa; Arthropoda; Malacostraca; Decapoda; Portunidae
Exons: 3
Source: RefSeq, a predicted model, not a curated record